RNAcentral lists this ribosomal RNA (301 nucleotides) under uncultured bacterium. Its description in RNAcentral is "partial 16S ribosomal RNA". It matches the Rfam family "Bacterial small subunit ribosomal RNA", at positions 509 to 807 of the family's 1533-position model. The record is from RNAcentral.
CAGUAGCCGCGGGAAUACCGAGGUCCCGAGCGUUGUUCGGAUUCACUGGGCGUAAGGGGUGUGUAGGAGGUUGGAUAAGUCAGGUGUGAAAUCCCGCAGCUCAACUGCGGAACUGCAUUCGAUACUGUUCAACUAGAGGAUCGGAGGGGGAAGCGGAAUUCUUGGUGUAGCGGUGAAAUGCGUAGAUAUCAAGAGGAACACCGGUGGCGAAGGCGGCUUCCUGGAAGAUACCUGACUCUGAAACACGAAAGCCAGGGGAGCGAAUGGGAUUAGAGACCCCCGUAGUCCCUGUCUCUUAUAC